AGUGGCAGACUGGUGAGUAAUAUGUGAGAAUCUACCUUUUAGUUAAGAAUAUGCUUGGGAAACUGAGUGCAAUACUGUAUAAGUUCUGUAAGGAAGAAAGACGGCCUCUUUGCUGUCGCUGAAAGAUGAGCUCGCAGACUAUUAGUUAGUUGGUGGGGUAAAGGCCUACCAAGACGAUGAUGGUUAGCCGACCUGAGAGGGUGAUCGGCCACAUUGGGACUGAGAUACGGCCCUGACUCCUGCGGGAGGCAGCAGUGGGGAAUUUUGCGCAAUGGACGAAAGUCUGACGCAGCAACGCCGCGUGGAGGAAGAAGGUCUUUGGAUCGUAAACCUCUGUUAAUUGGGAAGAAAGAAUUCAUUUUAAUAGAGUGAAUUUAUGACGUUACCGGUAGAGAAAGUCCCGGCUAACUUCGUGCCAGCAGCCGCGGUAAUACGAAGGGGACGAGCGUUAUUCGGAAUGAUUGGGUGUAAAGGGCGUGUAGGCGGUGCGAUAAGUUUGUUGUUUAAUUCUUUGGCCUAACCAAAGGCGUGCGACGAAUACUGUUGUGCUAGAGUUUGAAAGAGAAAAGUGGAAUUCUCGGAGUAGCGGUUAAAUGCGUAGAUCUCGAGAGGAACGCCAAUGGCGAAGGCAGCUUUUUGGUUCAAUACUGACGCUAAGGCGCGAAGGCGUGGGGAGCGAACAGGAUUAGAUACCCUGUAG
RNAcentral lists this ribosomal RNA (700 nucleotides) under uncultured bacterium. RNAcentral describes it as "bacterial SSU rRNA". It matches the Rfam family "Bacterial small subunit ribosomal RNA", at positions 94 to 793 of the family's 1533-position model. The record is from RNAcentral.